RNA transcript from Helicoverpa armigera (cotton bollworm), 1620 nucleotides. RefSeq lists it as uncharacterized. The transcript has 4 exons. Lineage: Eukaryota; Metazoa; Arthropoda; Insecta; Lepidoptera; Noctuidae. The record is from RefSeq and is a predicted model, not a curated record.
CGUCAAGUCACUGUGAACAAAGGAUAAGACAUCUUGUGAGUUCGUUCCUAUUUAUUCCUCUUAUUCCAUCUUCUCAAUUCUAUUAGAAUUCUUAUUCUCCUUUCUCAAUUUCAUUGUUACCAUUUUUGCUAAAACUUGAGUCAGUGCUUUGUGCAUUCUUCAUUCGUUACUAUUCAUUAAAUAUUACAUGCGUUUGCUAUCUAUAAUAAUAUUUAGCUGUUUAUUACAUCGUCAAUUUCUUUGUUCGGGGCUUUGUGUGCUAAUUACCCAUAGUCGUAAAACUCAAGCGUUGAAUGCUUGUUGUAUGAAUCAUCUUGUUUACUUCAAAUCGAAAUGCAUAGUCAUUAAGCCUAGCAAACGAGUUUAUUUUUUUGCUUGCAUAAUAAUAUCGUGACAACGGUGCAUCAAGUAGCUCGUUAGUUUAAAUCAGCUGUUGCCAGUAUCGAUUUACAGACUGAGAUCGAGGUCUUAUCUGACGAGCCACCAGUCGAUGAGGUUCCUGCGGAGCGUGUGCAGUUUGACAACGACUACUAUACGCUUGUGGCCCGAGCCAAGAGACUACUUGCUGCCGGGGAGAAGGCCAGUGAAUCUGUGGCGGAGUUCAGCGACGCAGAAUCAGCGUUGGUGAAGGUGGUUGACGGCAAGGGCAACAAACACACCGCCAGGGUGAUCUUGGACAACGGUAGUGGAAUAAAUAUCGUUUCCGAAGCUUUCUGCAGUAAGCUGGGUUUGCCGAGGCGGAACGUGAGCUCCACGGACUCAAGUUCCCAAAUCAGCUCCGCAGUCGCUCAAGAGGGAAUAGAGUUCCUCUUCAUUCCGAGCUACACACCCCAUUUCAACGGUAUGGCUGAAUCUGCAGUCCGUUCCACGAAAUAUCAUCUUCGUAGGCUUCUCCAACUUACGCAUUUCACGUAUGAAGAAAUGCACACUUGUCUGACUCAGGUGGAAGCCAUUCUAAAUUCACGUCCUAUAACUGCCUUAAACUCUGAUCCUACAGACUUCACACCUUUAACACCCGCACACUUCCUAAUAGGACGAUCACUUGUGUCCGUUCCACAUCCACAGUUGACAGAAAGGAUAACAAGUCUUGAACGGUACAAACGAAUCGAGUUCGUCAAGCAACAUUUUUGGAAACGAUUCUCCAACGAGUAUGUUACCACUCUACAGCAAAAGACAAAGUGGCCUACUGCAUCAAGCGAACUCAAAUUGGGUUCUUUAGUCCUUAUAAAGGAUAAAGCGCUUCCUCCCCUACGUUGGGCCUUGGGUCGCUGUGUGGCCGUUUUCCCAGGAACUCACGAUCAAGUCGCUCGAGUCGCCGAUAUAAGGAUCAAAGGAGGAACCAUCAUUCGAAGGGCGUUUAAUAACAUUUGUCCCCUUCCAGAAACUGGUUGUUGAACCAGCAGCCUUCCUGUCUACUUCAACCCGGGGAGUAUGUUGGUGACAAACAACGCACACAUCAUCGCAUCGUGGGCCACCGCGACGACCGUGCGGGGAUCGGGGGACGAGGCGCCGCGAGUAGCCGUCGCCCACGCAGCAACGCACCACCACCAGUCUCACAUAUGACACGGACCAUAGGCGCGCGUUCUUACAAUCCAAUAUACGAACCUACCAUAGAAUACA